UUGCCUAUGGGACGCAGCAGUGGGGGAUAUUGCAUAAUGGGGGGAACCCUGAUGCGGCGACGCCGCGUGGGUGAAGAAGCGCCUCGGCGCGUAAAGCCCUGUCAGCAGGGAAGAAAAUGACGGUACCUGAAGAAGAAGCCCCGGCUAACUACGUGCCAGCAGCCGCGGUAAUACGUAGGGGGCAAGCGUUAUCCGGAUUUACUGGGUGUAAAGGGGGCGCAGACGGCGAUGCAAGCCAGGAGUGAAAGCCCGGGGCCCAACCCCGGGACUGCGCUUGGAACUGCGCGGCUGGAGUGCAGGAGGGG
This 305-nucleotide ribosomal RNA is filed under the name uncultured bacterium. RNAcentral's name for it is "bacterial SSU rRNA". It matches the Rfam family "Bacterial small subunit ribosomal RNA", at positions 335 to 657 of the family's 1533-position model. The record is from RNAcentral.